This is a long non-coding RNA of Esox lucius (northern pike), 1632 nucleotides long. RefSeq lists it as uncharacterized. The transcript has 5 exons. Lineage: Eukaryota; Metazoa; Chordata; Actinopteri; Esociformes; Esocidae. The record is from RefSeq and is a predicted model, not a curated record.
CCCACCUGUGGACAAAUACACCUGGUACAAGAAGACUGUAACCUCACCAAAAGCUUCAGGACAGAAUUAUAGCAUUGCUAACAUCAGCUCCGAGGACAUUGGAGAAUAUUACUGUGAAGCUGUGAAUACAUAUGGACGUCUCAAUUCUACUGCUCUGAUGGUCAUUGCAACAGGAAAACAAACAUCAGUUAGGACCUCAGCUGCAGGAAUCACGGUGGUUGUUCUGUUUCUGGUUCUUCUACUCCUUCUCUUUGGGCUCAUGUGGUUUAGAAAGAAGCCCUCCAAAUUCACAGCAGACAAUGGACACGGAGAUUCUGUGUAUACAAACAUCUUAAUCAAGGACAUGGCUCCUAUAGCACAACAGACAGCAGAGACAACAGACCACGGAGAGAUUGACUGCGGCUCAAGUAGCUGAAGAGGAACUCUCUAUUAUCUACAUCACAGGCCACAACACAGAACCAAGAGGACCGGACCACAACAAGACAUGAAUGUAGGACAAUCUGAAAAAAAAAGGAAAACCUAGAAACAAACGGAACAUCACAAAACAAGUCAGAAAGGCCAACAGUCGGAUGCAAGACGACACUAUUUUCUACAACAACAAAAAAAAUAAAUUAAGACAGCACAUGUGGUGACGACUGUACAUAUUAGUUGUUGAAAGCCUGGUCAUAUCCACAGUAACAGUGUCACUAGCAGAACAGGCACUUCACAUGUUCCCCAGAUAAUGGUGAAAAGACACAGAUAUUGCAGCUGCCUUCCGGGCCAAUUUCCCACGACCGACCUCCCCUCGCCCCGCCUCGGUCCGUGACACGUGACACGGUUGGUGAGCUGGUAUUGUCAUGGUGGGGUGAGGCAGGACACAGAGUGCAGAGCUGUAGGAAUUCAUCCUUUUCAUUGUAAACGCACGAAACAAGACAACGACCUUAAACUGAAGAAUGGCCAACAUGAAGCAAAACAUCCAGGAAUGACCAAUGAACUGAAAGCCACACAGAACCACUUAAAUAGUCGUCUCUAAUUGGGGAGAACAGAACACGGUACCGCAGAAAUGCCUAGAGGGCCCCAGCCAGAACCUGAGAGGAAUACAUGGUUGCAGUAGUUCUUGUUAUAUUGGCACUAAAUUGAGGAUUACAAUUACUUCCACAAUGCAUUAUUUUAGUGUGCAACUACGCAACAUGUAAUUAUAACAGCUCUUGGUACAUGUCUGACCAUCACGUUAAAUGUUUCAAUUUGUCUAUUCAGGGGUAUGAUGUCACGUGUUUUUUGAACAAGAUAUAUGUUUUAACUUUGCCAUUGAAUGCUAUUCCACAUUUAUUACAUCUUUGUUUGUUCCAUUAAGUAACAGACCAACAUGCAUAGAUUUAAUUUAGUUCCUGAAACCAAUUCAGGCCUGUCUGCAGACAUGAUUAAUCAUAUGCCUAACUUCAAUAUCCUGCUUGUUUAAUCAUUUAACAUUACAAAGCCAUGUAUUGUGCCGAUUCAUUAAUGAAGUGUUACUCUUACUACUAGUAAACAAAUGCCAGGCUCCUACCUGCUCUUCUCUGUGGGCUGUGUAUUCCUAAUAUACAUUGUUCUAAUCCACAGCUGGACUGGAUGAGGAUUACAAAGAUCAAUAAAUCAUAUGAUACGAUUUGCUGA